UGGGGAAUAUUGCACAAUGGGCGAAAGCCUGAUGCAGCGACGCCGCGUGAGGGAUGACUGCCUUCGGGUUGUAAACCUCUUUCAGCAGGGACGAAGCGAAAGUGACGGUACCUGCAGAAGAAGCACCGGCCAACUACGUGCCAGCAGCCGCGGUAAUACGUAGGGUGCAAGCGUUGUCCGGAAUUAUUGGGCGUAAAGAGCUCGUAGGCGGUCUGUCACGUCGGCUGUGAAAACCUGGGGCUCAACCCCGGGCCUGCAGCCGAUACGGGCAGACUAGAGUUCGGCAGGGGAGACUGGAAUUCCUGGUGUAGCGGUGAAAUGCGCAGAUAUCAGGAGGAACACCGGUGGCGAAGGCGGGUCUCUGGGCCGAUACUGACGCUGAGGAGCGAAAGCGUGGGGAGCAAACAGGAUUAGAUACCCCCGUAGUCC
This 429-nucleotide ribosomal RNA is filed under the name uncultured bacterium. RNAcentral's name for it is "bacterial SSU rRNA". It matches the Rfam family "Bacterial small subunit ribosomal RNA", at positions 355 to 796 of the family's 1533-position model. The record is from RNAcentral.